UCCGGAUUUAUUGGGCGUAAAGCGAGCGCNGGCGGUUAGAUAAGUCUGAAGUUAAAGGCUGUGGCUUAACCAUAGUACGCUUUGGAAACUGUUUAACUUGAGUGCAGAAGGGGAGAGUGGAAUUCCAUGUGUAGCGGUGAAAUGCGUAGAUAUAUGGAGGAACACCGGUGGCGAAAGCGGCUCUCUGGUCUGUAACUGACGCUGAGGCUCGAAAGCGUGGGGAGCGAACAGGAUUAGAUACCCUGGUAGUNCACGCCGUAAACGAUGAGUGCUAGGUGUUAGGCCCUUUCCGGGGCUCAGUGCCGCAGCUAACGCAUUAAGCACUCCGCCUGGGGAGUACGACCGCAAGGUUGAAACUCAAAGGAAUUGACGGGGGCCCGCACAAGCGGUGGAGCAUGUGGUUUAAUUCGAAGCAACGCGAAGAACCUUACCAGGUCUUGACAUCCCGAUGCCCGCUCUAGAGAUAGAGUUUUACUUCGGUACAUCGGUGACGGGUGGUGCAUGGUUGUCGUCAGCUCGUGUCGUGAGAUGUUGGGUUAAGUCCCGCAACGAGCGCAACCCUUAUUGUUAGUUGCCAUCAUUCAGUUGGGCACUCUAGCGAGACUGCCGGUAAUAAACCGGAGGAAGGUGGGGAUGACGUCAAAUCAUCAUGCCCCUUAUGACCUGGGCUACACACGUGCUACAAUGGCUGGUACAACGAGUCGCAAGUCGGUGACGGCAAGCUAAUCUCUUAAAGCCAGUCUCAGUUCGGAUUGUAGGCUGCAACUCGCCUACAUGAAGUCGGAAUCGCUAGUAAUCGCGGAUCAGCACGCCGCGGUGAAUACGUUCCCGGGCCUUGUACACACCGCCCGUCACACCACGAGAGUUUGUAACACCCGAAGUC
Molecule: ribosomal RNA, 883 nt
Filed under: uncultured bacterium
Lineage: Bacteria
Description: bacterial SSU rRNA
Rfam family: Bacterial small subunit ribosomal RNA
Source: RNAcentral